RNAcentral lists this unclassified non-coding RNA (311 nucleotides) under Hevea brasiliensis (rubber tree). The record is from RNAcentral. Lineage: Eukaryota; Viridiplantae; Streptophyta; Magnoliopsida; Malpighiales; Euphorbiaceae.
CGACGAUGGGGUGGAAGGGGAUAGCCGACGCCUGCUCUCCCCUCGGCAGGUUGACCUCGACGACGCGGAGUGGUGUGGACGGCGGACUGCUUUCCUCGCGGACGGAUCUGGAGCACCCAAACUCGGGAUGGCUGGAUCCGCGACCUUCGAGUUCAGGGUGUCCGGAUCUAGAGCCCCCGGGUUCAUGGUUGCUGGGGCUGUCAAGGGGAGGCCAGGUGGGGAUGCAGAAGCUCGUCGUCGACUGGAGAUAAGCAGCGAUGGAUGGCGGGGCUUGUCGAUGGCGUUGGGCAGUGGCGUUGUCUUCAUCUUUG